RNAcentral lists this ribosomal RNA (509 nucleotides) under uncultured bacterium. Its description in RNAcentral is "partial 16S ribosomal RNA". It matches the Rfam family "Bacterial small subunit ribosomal RNA", at positions 355 to 861 of the family's 1533-position model. The record is from RNAcentral.
UGAGGAAUAUUGGACAAUGGGUGAGAGCCUGAUCCAGCCAUCCCGCGUGAAGGACGACUGCCCUAUGGGUUGUAAACUUCUUUUAUACUGGGAUAAACCUACCCUCGUGAGGGUAGCUGAAGGUACAGUAUGAAUAAGCACCGGCUAACUCCGUGCCAGCAGCCGCGGUAAUACGGAGGGUGCAAGCGUUAUCCGGAUUUAUUGGGUUUAAAGGGUCCGUAGGCGGGCUCGUAAGUCAGUGGUGAAAUCUCAUAGCUUAACUAUGAAACUGCCAUUGAUACUGCGGGUCUUGAGUAAAGUAGAAGUGGCUGGAAUAAGUAGUGUAGCGGUGAAAUGCAUAGAUAUUACUUAGAACACCAAUUGCGAAGGCAGGUCACUAUGUUUUAACUGACGCUGAUGGACGAAGCGGUGGGGCAGCAGAACAGGAUUAGAUACCCUGGUAGUCCACGCCGUAAACGAUGCUAACUCGUUUUUGGGUUUUUCGGAUUCAGAGACUAAGCGAAAGUGAU